UACGGAGGGUGCGAGCGUUGUCCGGAAUCACUGGGCGUAAAGGGCGCGUAGGUGGCCCGUUAAGUGGCUGGUGAAAUCCCGCGGCUCAACUGCGGGGCUGCCGGUCAUACUGGCGAGCUAGAGCACGGUAGGGGCAGAUGGAAUUCCCGGCGUAGCGGUGGAAUGCGUAGAGAUCGGGAAGAAUACCAGUGGCGAAGGCGUGCUGCUGGGCCGUUGCUGACACUGAGGCGCGACAGCGUGGGGAGCAAACAGG
Molecule: ribosomal RNA, 253 nt
Filed under: uncultured bacterium
Lineage: Bacteria
Description: partial 16S ribosomal RNA
Rfam family: Bacterial small subunit ribosomal RNA
Source: RNAcentral